AGAGUUUGAUCCUGGCUCAGAUUGAACGCUGGCGGAAUGCUUUACACAUGCAAGUCGAGCGGCAGCGCGGGGCAACCUGGCGGCGAGCGGCGAACGGGUGAGUAAUGCAUCGGAACAUGUCCAUGUCGUGGGGGAUAGCCCGGCGAAAGCCGGAUUAAUACCGCAUACGCCCGAGAGGGGAAAGUGGGGGACCGCAAGGCCUCACGCGAUUGGGUUGGCCGAUGUCCGAUUAGCUAGUUGGCGGGGUAAAGGCCCACCAAGGCGAUGAUCGGUAGCUGGUCUGAGAGGAUGAUCAGCCACACUGGGACUGAGACACGGCCCAGACUCCUACGGGAGGCAGCAGUGGGGAAUUUUGGACAAUGGGGGCAACCCUGAUCCAGCCAUUCCGCGUGAGUGAAGAAGGCCUUCGGGUUGUAAAGCUCUUUUGUCCGGAACGAAACGGGUAGCGUGAAUAUCGCUGCCUACUGACGGUACCGGAAGAAUAAGCACCGGCUAACUACGUGCCAGCCGCCGCGGUAAUAC
This 522-nucleotide ribosomal RNA is filed under the name uncultured bacterium. RNAcentral's name for it is "bacterial SSU rRNA". It matches the Rfam family "Bacterial small subunit ribosomal RNA", at positions 8 to 526 of the family's 1533-position model. The record is from RNAcentral.